Molecule: long non-coding RNA, 284 nt
Organism: Mytilus trossulus (common blue mussel)
Lineage: Eukaryota; Metazoa; Mollusca; Bivalvia; Mytilida; Mytilidae
Exons: 3
Source: RefSeq, a predicted model, not a curated record
GUUUAUUAUUAGGCAAGGAAUUUGUAAAUGGGGAAGACGCCAUAAAAGACAGAAAUGUCGCCACAUAAGAGAAAAUGUGACGUUUUAGGUUUCAUAGGAACCACAUUGCUACUAUUGACCAUCGUUACUUGUUCCAGUAUUGGUACAGCGAUGCCGACGUUUGGCCAAAAGCAGACAUCAAAUAGUCUCUGCAAUAAGGGAAGCAAUUGCCUGAUUUAUAGCCAUAUUAUGGAUAUACCAAGUGAUUCGACUGAAACGGACUACGCUACUUACAAAUUUGAACU